This 379-nucleotide ribosomal RNA is filed under the name Telmatobufo bullocki. RNAcentral describes it as "partial 12S ribosomal RNA". It matches the Rfam family "Bacterial small subunit ribosomal RNA", at positions 794 to 1384 of the family's 1533-position model. The record is from RNAcentral. Lineage: Eukaryota; Metazoa; Chordata; Amphibia; Anura; Calyptocephalellidae.
GCCCAGUCGUAAACCUUUUAAUUACCCACACAACCGCCAGGGAACUACAAGCCCAAGCUUAAAACCCAAAGGACUUGACGGUGCCCCAACCCACCUAGAGGAGCCUGUCCUUUAAUCGAUGAUCCACGUUAAACCUCACCACUUCUGGCCCAUCCGCCUGUAUACCUCCGUCGUCAGCUUACCGCGUGAGCGAUUUAGUGAGCCUAAUGCCCAAACCCGCCAACACGUCAGGUCAAGGUGCAGCAAAUGAAGUGGGAAGUGAUGGGCUACAUUUUCUAUUAUAGAAUAUACGAAAGAUAAACAUGAAACUUUAUCAGAAGGUGGAUUUAGAAGUAAAAAGAAACAAGAAAGUUCUUUUUAAUACGGCACAGGGGCAUGU